AUCAAAGUCAACCCACAAUAAUAUGACAGAAUCAACAUCACAUAUAGUAUCCCUUGUUUUAUUAGCUUCGUUAGUCGCCUGUGCAUUUCUUUUGUUCGCUUUUUACUUCUACAGGUCACAAAGUCGCGCACAGAGCGACUACAAGUGUAACACUCACAAUUAAUUACCCUUCAAAGUAACCUCAUUAAAAGUAACUAAACAAAUUAAGAAAAAUUAAUAAGGAAGUUUAGAUAACGACGUUGUAAAAGUACAUAAUCGGAUCGCAUUGACGAUUAAACAAAACGAUUGCGAAACGGCACCGUGACAACAGUUAAACAAUCAAAAUUUUCUGUGUCAGGAAGGAAGCACACCCACUCACGACCCCUGUCAAGAUGGAAGGCAUGGAAGGCGAUCAAUGCGAAGUUUGCGAGAUCUGCAACAAAGAGUACGUACGCGACCCCAAGGAGGAACGCUGCAAAUGUGAAGAUCACCCUAAAGAGGAUUGCAUCAAGAACCGAAGACGCUGUGCAUCCUGUAAAUAGGCGCACACCUUUAACCAGUUGAUUUCAACUACUACGAUGAUGGUACCAAUUUCUAAAUUGUUCGUGUUUGGGGAUAUUAAUUAUACUUAUGGUGACGCCUUUUCUUUUUGGAAUCUACAAAUCAAUUUCGUUCUAAAUGUAAUGAUAUAGUGAAUGAAUAAAAACUUGAAAUAUA
Molecule: non-coding RNA, 696 nt
Organism: Onthophagus taurus
Lineage: Eukaryota; Metazoa; Arthropoda; Insecta; Coleoptera; Scarabaeidae
Source: RefSeq, a predicted model, not a curated record